CUCAGGAUGAACGCUAGCUACAGGCUUAACACAUGCAAGUCGAGGGGUAGCAGGGUAGCAAUACCGCUGACGACCGGCGCACGGGUGAGUAACACGUAUCCAACCUUCCCAUAACUCAGGGAUAGCCUUUCGAAAGAAAGAUUAAUACCUGAUAGUACUUUUUCAAGGCAUCUUGAGAAAGUUAAAGAUUUAUUGGUUAUGGAUGGGGAUGCGUUCCAUUAGAUAGUUGGUGAGGUAACGGCUCACCAAGUCUUCGAUGGAUAGGGGUUCUGAGAGGAAGGUCCCCCACAUUGGUACUGAGACACGGACCAAACUCCUACGGGAGGCAGCAGUGAGGAAUAUUGGUCAAUGGGCGAGAGCCUGAACCAGCCAAGUAGCGUGAAGGAUGAAGGUCCUAUGGAUUGUAAACUUCUUUUAUAGUAGAAUAAAGUGAUCCACGUGUGGAUUUUUGUAUGUAUACUAUGAAUAAGGAUCGGCUAACUCCGUGCCAGCCGCAGC
This 498-nucleotide ribosomal RNA is filed under the name uncultured bacterium. RNAcentral describes it as "bacterial SSU rRNA". It matches the Rfam family "Bacterial small subunit ribosomal RNA", at positions 23 to 518 of the family's 1533-position model. The record is from RNAcentral.